RNAcentral lists this ribosomal RNA (765 nucleotides) under Pseudoalteromonas sp. N29. RNAcentral describes it as "bacterial SSU rRNA". It matches the Rfam family "Bacterial small subunit ribosomal RNA", at positions 61 to 821 of the family's 1533-position model. Lineage: Bacteria; Pseudomonadati; Pseudomonadota; Gammaproteobacteria; Alteromonadales; Pseudoalteromonadaceae. The record is from RNAcentral.
GUCGAGCGGUAACAGANAGUANCUUGCUACUUUGCUGACGAGCGGCGGACGGGUGAGUAAUGCUUGGGANCNUGCCUUGAGGUGGGGGACAACAGUUGGAAACGACUGCUAAUACCGCAUAAUGUCUACGGACCAAAGGGGGCUUCGGCUCUCGCCUUUAGAUUGGCCCAAGUGGGAUUAGCUAGUUGGUGAGGUAAUGGCUCACCAAGGCGACGAUCCCUAGCUGGUUUGAGAGGAUGAUCAGCCACACUGGGACUGAGACACGGCCCAGACUCCUACGGGAGGCAGCAGUGGGGAAUAUUGCACAAUGGGCGCAAGCCUGAUGCAGCCAUGCCGCGUGUGUGAAGAAGGCCUUCGGGUUGUAAAGCACUUUCAGUCAGGAGGAAAGGUUAGUAGUUAAUACCUGCUAGCUGUGACGUUACUGACAGAAGAAGCACCGGCUAACUCCGUGCCAGCAGCCGCGGUAAUACGGAGGGUGCGAGCGUUAAUCGGAAUUACUGGGCGUAAAGCGUACGCAGGCGGUUUGUUAAGCGAGAUGUGAAAGCCCCGGGCUCAACCUGGGAACUGCAUUUCGAACUGGCAAACUAGAGUGUGAUAGAGGGUGGUAGAAUUUCAGGUGUAGCGGUGAAAUGCGUAGAGAUCUGAANGAAUACCGAUGGCGAAGGCAGCCACCUGGGUCAACACUGACGCUCAUGUACGAANGCGUGGGGAGCAAACNGNAUUANAUACCCUGGNAGUCCACGCCGUAAACGAUGUCUACUANAA